This 4093-nucleotide long non-coding RNA is filed under the name Cricetulus griseus (Chinese hamster). RNAcentral's name for it is "lncRNA (ENSCGRG00015038549.1)". The record is from RNAcentral. Lineage: Eukaryota; Metazoa; Chordata; Mammalia; Rodentia; Cricetidae.
CAGUGGGCACCCAAACACACAUGAUAUUCAGGUGUAUACAAGCAUUACAGACAUGCGCGCGCGCGCGCGCGCGCGCACACACACAUACACACACACACACACACAGAGAGAGAGAGAGAGAGAGAGAGAGAGAGAGAGAGAGAGAGAGAGAGAGAAUUGUUAGGUCUCAAGAAGCCUGGGACCAAUGGCUAACUGGGGUGCCUAUUUAACAUAUCAAAGCCGGGUGUUGGUGGUACAUGCCUUUAAUCACAGUACUUGGGAGGCAGAGGCAGGCAGAUCUCCGUGAGUUCAAGGCCAGCCUGGUCUACAGAGCAAGUGCCAGGAUAAGCUCCAAAGCUACACAGAGAAACCCUGUCUCGAAAAACCAAAACAACAACAACAACAACAAAAGAACAUAUCAAAGCAGACCUGCCACACAGGUUCUCCUAGUAUCCCUUAGUUCCUGCCUGUUUCAGGGUCAUCCUGGCUGACCUACCCUGAACUCUUUAGCUCAGGGGCUGGGCUUCCUCUCCCCUAGUCUCUGGUCCCUAUAUAACUCAGCCAUUUUGGCUACACUGACCCCUUGGCCUCUGUGCCUCCUGUCCUCUUGACUCCCACCUCUCUCCUCCCCCUCUGUCCUCACAAGGCCCCACCCAGUCCGCUGGUCAUGUCCACUCUGGACUCCCCCCAAAUGUCCCUGUCUCUGGCUGUGCUCUCCCUCAUAUCUACAAAAAACCUUCUCUACCAUACCUAGGAGCAGUCAUGUCCUCCUUUUUAUUUCUUUUUUUUUUUUUUUUUAUUCAAGAACCACAUUUUUAGCCGGGCGGUGGUGGCGCACACCUUUAGUCCCAGCACUCGGGAGGCAGAGGCAGAGGCAAGCAGAUCUCUGUGAGUUCAAGGCCUGCCUGAUCUACAAAGUGAGUUCUAGCACAUCCAGGACUGUUACAUAGAGAGCCUUGUCUCAAAACAAACAAAAACCAAACAGACAUAAAAAAUCUUAAAAACGAAACAGAACAUAGGUAUGUCCAAGAGGCUCUGCCACUUCCAGAUGUGUGACUUGGGCGGCGUCCCUAACCUCUGUGCUUGUUUCCUCAUCUGAGAAAUGGGAACAACACAGCUCCCUGGCAUGAGUCAGCCUCCUCAGCACAAACAGAAGACUCAAUCCAGGAACAGCAUUAGACAAUAUUCAUUUUAGUCUUGGGAAUUUGGGGGUUUAUUUUGCUUUUGAAAUAGGGUCUGUUUAUGUAGCCCUGGCUGUUUUAGAACUCUGAGACUCAAUGCUGGCAUUGCCAACACUGGACGUGAGGGCCACAGACAUGCAGAAUCCCAGCAGACACCUUUGAUUGGUGAAGGGCUGAGCCUGGUAGCCAGGAAGUGGAGGGGAGGCUGGUCCCCAGCGCACGUAGUGGGGGCUGCCCAGUGUGGAAUAACAGGGAUGGCAGUCACAUGCCUGCAGAAGACGGGAUUCAGCACUCAUCCGGAAUGCUCAGGCUCAGGGACGGAGCCCACUGCAGUGUGUGUGCCAACUCCUAACUCAGGGAGGCCACACUAGUUCAUGUGUGUUCAGAAGAUGUGGGCAGAAUGACAAGAGCAGUACACAUGCUCUUCCAAGCCUGGGACACAGCACAGUGUUCUAGUUUCCUUUCUGUUGCUGAGGCCUAAAGCAAUUUAGGAGAAGAAAGGAUUUAUUUGACUUACACUUCUAGGUCACAGACCAUUGUUAUGGGAGGUCAGGGCAGGAACCAGAAGCAGAAACCAUGGAGGAGCAUUGCUUGCCAGCUGCUCACAGACUCGUGACUUUCUUUUUUGUUGCUGCCCUCCUCCCUCAAUCCCAUGUUUCUCUGUGUAGCUCUGGCUGUGGACCAGGCUGGCUUUGAACUCAGAGAUCCUCCUGCUGUUGCCUCCUGAGUGCUGGGAUUAAAGGCAUGUUCCACCACUGCCUAGUUUAGCUAGCUUUCUUGUACAGCCCAGGACCACCUGCCUAGGGAUGGUAUCACCCCCUGUGGGCUGAUCCUCCUUUUCCAGUUGGCAGCUAAGACACACAUCAAAAACAAAAAAACAAACAAGCAAAAAACAACAAUAACAAAAACAUGCUCAUAGAGUUAGGAAAUUUCUCAGUUGAGGCUUGCAUCUGCGAUCACUCUAGGCUGUAUCAAGCUGACAAUUAAACCGAACUAGGAUACCACAGUACCCAUCCACAACGGAAUAAGCCACAGCUAACCAUAGCACCUUGUUUCAUGGAGCCCAGAAAGCAGGUGCUCAGGCAGGCAGACUCGUGGGAGAGGCAGAAUCAACUUUGCCCAAGGCAAAGUUUCAUUUAUUACAACCUUGAAGACAGAUGAGAUGAAUCUCUGGGACCUCAGGAGUCAGGAGAAGGGUGAGUCAACCAGGUACAGUGGGGCAGAGCUCUCUGUUCACUUGUUUACUUGGGUGCACGUGUUCUGAAGCGUGUUCUCCACUUAGAAUUUGUCUUUUCCGGGGGCUGGAGAGAUGGCUCAGCAGUUAAGAGCAUUGCCCAGAGGACCUGGGGUUCAAUUCCCAGCACCCACACAGCAACUCACAACUGUAACUCCAGUUCCAGGAUUUCUGACACCUUCACACAGACACACAUGCAGUCAAAAUAUUGAUGCACAUAAAAUAAAAUAUAAUAAAAGAACUUGUUUUUUGUUGUAGGCGUGCUACACUUCCGGUGUGGGUGGGGGCAACAACCAGGCAUGGUGGUGAUUUCUGUAUUGCCCUGCAACUUAAGAAGACUGGAACAGGAGCAUUGCUCCAAAUUUGAGGCUAGCCUGGCCUAUAUGAAACCUUGUCUCAAAAUAUACAGUUUUAUGAGUGCAUCUGCAAGAAGCAUUUGGGACAGUGACUGACUGGGAUGGGGUGAAGAGAUGGUAGCCAUGGACUUCAGCGUCAUUACUGCGUUGUCCCGCUGCACCAUUGCACAAGGCUGGGGGAGACACCUGUGUUCUCAUGUACCCUGAAUGCAGAGGGCUCUGAGGGCUCAACACAUCUCAAUGGCCCCCUGAGGGCUUUAGCCAGUCUCUCCAGGGUGUGCCUUAGGCUGAGCCAGGAGCAAAGCACAAGGCCUGAAGCUGACAGAGCAGAACUCAGUGGUCACCUUAGUGCCUUUGUGCAGCUAGAGAGGAAUAUUAGACUGGGUCAUUUGUAAAGAGCAGGAAUUUGGCCCUUAGUCUCCUUUUUUGGCUUUCUCGCCCACUGAGAUAGGAGCAAGCAGCUUCCUGCUCCUUAUGGGAGCUGUCCCACCAAAGACAAGUGCUUGCCCUCUUCCAAAAUUCUCCACCAUGAAGGAGUGUAUCCUCUGAACCAUGAGCUAAGACCCUCAUUGUCUAAUACAAACAAACAAACAAACACAAUCUUUCCUUUUUCUUUUCUGAAGGGAAAGGCAGACAUGACCUUAGUGACCAGCAAGUAACAGGGGACUGCUUAGAGCAGCAAAACAAGGGUGCACCCUGAGAUGAGAAACAGAGUAAGAAGAGGCUAAGAGGGUUUCAGGGGCGGGUCUGGGAGUCUCAGGAAGGACAUCUACAGAAGACUAGUGAGGACGUGGGGACAACAGUGACCAGGAAGAACAUGGCUUGUGGGAGGCCGAGGCUCUGCUCUAGGCAGCUUGCUCAGACAGGCGCAGGUUAGGACAGUUGGGGGCUAUGGAACCCAAGUGCCUAGUGGUUACCAAGGAAACUGAUCUUUCCUUUGUGGGUUCUUAGUCUUGUUAAUCAAAGAAUUUCAAUACAAUCUAGGAAGGAAGCUUGAGGACAAUUUUAUUAGAGUUUGGAAGAAAACCACAGGACAAGGCAGGUUGUAAAUUUUGGCAGCUGCCUGGAGGAGGAAAGGAAAAGCAAAAUCCAGGCCUUUUGCAAUAUGCAAUGGCGGUGAGCAAGCAGUCAUGUGACGGAAAAAGAUCAGGGCGCCAUUUUUCAGUGCUGGACACAAAGCUCUCCACUAACUAUUUUAAAGACUGUAUCUUACAGGGUCAGGUCACUUUGUGGAUGCCAUGGCUAAUCUUCUAUCUCAGAUUGACUGUGUGUGCCUGUGGGGUGUUUCCAGAAAGGUUUAUCUGAAGUGAGAAGACCCACCUUAAAUGUGGACAGCAGCAUCC